RNAcentral lists this ribosomal RNA (253 nucleotides) under uncultured bacterium. Its description in RNAcentral is "partial 16S ribosomal RNA". It matches the Rfam family "Bacterial small subunit ribosomal RNA", at positions 524 to 776 of the family's 1533-position model. The record is from RNAcentral.
UACGAAGGGGGCUAGCGUUGCUCGGAAUUACUGGGCGUAAAGGGCGCGUAGGCGGCACCGUUCGUCAGGCGUGAAAUUCCUGGGCUCAACCUGGGGAUUGCGCUUGAAACGGCUGAGCUUGAGGACGGAAGAGGGUCGUGGAAUUCCCAGUGUAGAGGUGAAAUUCGUAGAUAUUGGGAAGAACACCGGUGGCGAAGGCGGCGACCUGGUCCGUUACUGACGCUGAGGCGCGACAGCGUGGGGAGCAAACAGG